AGAGAUGGAGGAGUGCAGAUCCAUGAUAUCCUCAGGUAGGGGGGAAGAGAGGGUAGUGGACAGAUCCAUGAUAUCCUCAGGUAGGGGGGAAGAGAUAUCCUCAGGUAGGAGGGAAGAGAGGGGAGUGGACAGAUCCAUGAUAUCCUCAGGUAGGAAGGAAGAGAUAUCCUCAGGUAGGAGGGAAGAGAUGGAGGAGUGGACAGAUCCAUGAUAUCCUCAGGUAGGAGGGAAGAGAUGGAGGAGUGGACAGAUCCAUGAUAUCCUCAGGUAGGAGGGAAGAGAUGGAGGAGUGGACAGAUCCAUGAUAUCCUCAGGUAGGGGGGAAGAGAUGGAGGAGUGGACAGAUCCAUGAUAUCCUCAGGUAGGGGGGAAGAGAUGGAGGAGUGGACAGAUCCAUGAUAUCCUCAGGUAGGAGGAAAGAGAGAGGAGUACACAGAUCCUAGAUAACCUCAGGUAGGAGAGAAGAGAUAU
Non-coding RNA from Salmo salar (Atlantic salmon), 471 nucleotides. The record is from RefSeq and is a predicted model, not a curated record. NCBI's taxonomy places the organism in Eukaryota, Metazoa, Chordata, Actinopteri, Salmoniformes, Salmonidae.